GUGCGCGCGGCUCGCUGGUAGGCGGGAGACACUUCUCAGAGUCGCCACCAGGGUAGAGGGCAGAUAAGAAGAAGAUACCACAGGAGGGCAUUGUCCCCCGGUACGAACACAACAGAAGCCUUCUAUUGUGGCUGCACAUGGAGAUGUGCACAACGACUUUUUAUCACAACUUUUCCCGCUGAGGCAUUUCCACAGCAGACGUACGUCGCAGCGUCGAGCCCUCACAGUUCAGUCUUGUUUCUUUCUUUUUUAAACAGUGAGGACAAUAUUUAGUUAAAUUCAUUGUUGUUGUCACAUAUCACAUUUCCGGCCAGAAUAUAUGAUAAUAAUUCCUCUAAUGAUAUACAAAAAAAAGAUGGGUUAUCAACUUGGCAGCUGCCCAGUAAUAGGUUGACAACAUAUAAUCAUUUGGAUAAACAUAAUUUCAAAUUUAUUGAGAAUUUGGAUGACUGUUUUAUUUACAUUCUUUAUAUUUAUAUUCCCUAAUUUUUGUAGAGUUUACAUUUGUAUUUCUUAGAUUUUUGAAAAAUUUGUAUUUCUUACUUUUUUUUUUACAUUUGUACUUCUUAUAGUUUUUCAUAUUUUGUAAUGUGUUGAUACCUGCUGAUGUAACAACCAACAAUUUAUUAUUUUCAAUGUCUGACAAUUAUUGGUCCUGUUCAGGAAAAUACAAUUGUCAGAAAGAUUAACACGAGUUCACUCGCAUAGAAAACUGAGGAACUAGUAAAUAUUUGUAUUUGAGAUUAUUGUUGCCAUUUGUUUUUAUGAUUUGCUCUUCUAAAUCCGGAUAUUUGUUUUUUAUUGAAAACAGUCUUACAUUAAGAAAGGUUUUUGUUUUUUUAAAUUGCCUACCAUAACCUUAGCUUCUAAUUUUUGGCAAACACUGUUGCUCACGCAAGCCACCAUAGCUAGGAAACAAAAGUAUUUGUUUAUUAAAAGUAUUUAUUUAUUAAUUGGUAAAUCCAUUCAUCCAGUUUUUUUAAUGCUUAUCUGGAUACAGGUCAUGUUAACUGAUUAGUUAUACUACACGGUUAAUAUGUAUUCCUGAGAAAUACUUAGAAAAUGAAUGUAAGUGACUGUAGGCCCUUUUGUCCCCACUGGUUUUCCAUAGUUGUUUGAAUGCCACAAUCAGGAAACACAUUCAAUUGCAUUCUCUUUGGUAUUUGGUGAACGUGGCAGAUCCCCAGUCCUAAAUAGCUAAAUAAAGAUUAUAAUAAGUGCUCGUAAUGACUCGCUAUGAUUAAUAAUCAUAUUGGGCCUCGCAGGAGAGGAGACAGGAACUACACUGUCCACCACUACGGCAGCUGUUGUGCAGUUGCAGUCAGUGGCCACUCGGCGGAGCUCUUCUCCACAUGACAUCCAUAAUCUAAAUAUAAUACAAACACCAUGUUGUUUAGGAGCACGAGGAGGAGAAAAACAAAAUCGCACUGAGAUUGUGUUAAAGCUGAGACUACUUCAUCUACACUCGUCUCUGUAACUACAGCGGUGGACAUGAAGGGAAUUGAAGGGAGAAAAAAAACUUCCAUCCAUCCAUUUUCCUAUCCUAAUCUGGGACACUGUGGCAAACUUCCAGCUUCCCGAGCCACGUCCUUGGGGCUUCUCCUGGGGGACUCAGACUCACUUGUAAUCCAUCCUGCGUGGAACAUGAGGGUCUGCACCCAGAAGAUAGGAAACACUGUCAGGAGGGAAGUUUGUGAGCUGGAGCCGGAGAGACAGGAGAUAAGAGUGUGUUUCAGGUGGAGGAGGCAGCAGGAUGCCUCAGGGGAUGGGUGGGCGCCUGUUGCAGAAGAGGCCCCUGCAAGUUCCUCCCCGCGGGGCCACUGAACACUUCUCCACUGAAAUGUCAGUAACGCUGAAAAGUCUGACCUCCGUAAAAUCACAUCCAGAGUCAGGAAACUGUGGCACAACUGUGUCCACGACGGCCUUGUCCACCCAAGGCCUGGAUUAGAAAGAGGACUUUCCUGCAUGAAGACAUGAAUUCAUCAUCAAUUUGUCACAGCAGUACAGAAAAAAAGGGGAACACAGGUUGUAAGAAAUAAAAUACAGAAUCCAAAAUCAAUGAAAUAGAAAACUAAAAUAAUGUGCUAUGUGCAAUGUCAGACACACUGGGAAGGACUUUAAAAUGGAAAUCUUAUUCUAUAUGUGGAAUAAAGAACCUUCCUAUACAGACUGUUGUUAUUCACGUAGAAUAUGUAUGUGAGGUUCAGACACUUUAUAUUCAUGUGCAUUUAUGCAUAAAUUCAUAAUCUGAUUCAAUUUGUCACGGCAGCACAAAAGAAAGUAGGAACACGGGGGGUUAGAGUUAGGGGGGGUUGUAAUAAAUGAAAUACAUAAUCCAAAAUCAAUGAGACGGACAUAGAAAUACUAAAAUAAUGUGAUAUGUGCAAUAUCAGGCACACUGAGAAUGACUUAUUCUACAAAAUGUGCAAUAUGCGAUAAAGACCGUUUAAGUACGGAUUGUUGAUAUUCAUGUAGAUUAUGUACAGAGGUUCAGACUAGGGCUGCAACUAACGAUUGAUUUCAUAAUGUUGAUUAUUUUAUCGAUUAGUUGUGUGGUCCAUAAAAUGUCAUAAAAUGUCAAUCGUUGUUUCCUCAAAACUCCAAGAUGA
Molecule: long non-coding RNA, 2609 nt
Organism: Scophthalmus maximus (turbot)
Lineage: Eukaryota; Metazoa; Chordata; Actinopteri; Pleuronectiformes; Scophthalmidae
Exons: 3
Source: RefSeq, a predicted model, not a curated record